Molecule: ribosomal RNA, 253 nt
Filed under: uncultured bacterium
Lineage: Bacteria
Description: partial 16S ribosomal RNA
Rfam family: Bacterial small subunit ribosomal RNA
Source: RNAcentral
GACGGAGGGGGCUAGCGUUGUUCGGAAUGACUGGGCGUAAAGGGCGCGUAGGCGGUUGAUCAAGUCAGGCGUGAAAGCCUUGGGCUUAACCCAAGAACUGCGUUUGAGACUGGUUGACUAGAGGACGAGAGAGGAAAGCGGAAUUCCGAGUGUAGAGGUGAAAUUCGUAGAUAUUCGGAGGAACAUCAGAGGCGAAGGCGGCUUUCUGGCUCGUAUCUGACGCUGAGGCGCGAAAGCGUGGGGAGCAAACAGG